GUGUAAAUGAAGAGGUGCCUGAAAAAUGUAAUUUCCUCUUUGUAGCCAUUUCAUUAUCUUCCUAGAUUUUGUCAGUCACUGCCACAGAGAUUCAGCAAGGCUGUCUUGUAAUCACCACUGGUGUCAUCCACAAUCAUGCUGGAGAGAGGUUGUCCUGCAAUCCGCCUGAAUUCAUCCUUGAUAAGAUUUAAGUCAACUUCAUUUCGAGAAACAAUCACCCUUAUCAGGGUCCCGUCAUCAGUGCCAGCCCCCUUUAAAGCAUGGUACAGCCUCUCUGCAAAGUAUUGACGGAUAUUCCUUGUGCAUCUCACAAUAGCCAGCAUAGCAUCCUCCAGUGAGCCUUUAGUUUCGCUCUUGAUACUGUCUUCUAUGCUUUUACCGGCAAGUUUCUGGUAUUCUUCAAACACUUUCAGCAAGUGUGUAGCACUCCUCUUGCACAGAAUGGUGAUGAACUGUAUCUCAUCAGUGCCCUUUAUCUUCUCCCCAGCAGAAAAGAGAGUCUCUGCAUCCUGGCGAGCCAAUGCUGUAUCCACGUAGAGAGAGGCAUUGUCCCUCUCACCCUGAAGAAGGCAAACUAGAAUCUGUUUGAAGUAGCCACUUGUUUCUGAUGCUAUGUCGUGCUCCAGAUCAGAACCAUAAUCUUCUUUGUAUGCCUUGAUAAUCUCUUUGAUCUGCGCCUUUGUUCGUGAUGCCAGGAUCUCUAUGAUAACAUCUUCACUUGUUCCCACACCCUUCAUGGCAUCAUACAGCUCCUUGGCUUCAUAUUUGUAUGGGGGGUACAUGAGAGCUACAAUGAGCCUCUCAAAGUUGCCACUCAAUUCAGAUCUCAGGCUAUCAAUCAGAUCCUUUCCAAACUGUGCUUUGAAGGAUUUGGCAAUCUCUUGCCGCUGCUUGUUGCUCCUCUUGGUUAGGACUUCAAUUAUAGCUUGUUCAUCAGUCCCAAGCCCUUUCAUGGCCUUGUAGAGAG
Molecule: long non-coding RNA, 967 nt
Filed under: Gallus gallus (chicken)
Lineage: Eukaryota; Metazoa; Chordata; Aves; Galliformes; Phasianidae
Source: RNAcentral